GCCCGCCUAGCUCAAUCGGAUAGAGCGUCAGACUCUUACCUAGGCGGUUAAUCUGAAGGCUGCGAGUUCGACCCUCGCGGUGGGCU
RNAcentral lists this transfer RNA (86 nucleotides) under Laccaria amethystina LaAM-08-1. It matches the Rfam family "tRNA". From Rfam's summary of the family: Transfer RNA (tRNA) molecules are approximately 80 nucleotides in length. Their secondary structure includes four short double-helical elements and three loops (D, anti-codon, and T loops). Lineage: Eukaryota; Fungi; Basidiomycota; Agaricomycetes; Agaricales; Hydnangiaceae. The record is from Rfam by way of RNAcentral.